Molecule: long non-coding RNA, 1266 nt
Organism: Aegilops tauschii subsp. strangulata
Lineage: Eukaryota; Viridiplantae; Streptophyta; Magnoliopsida; Poales; Poaceae
Source: RefSeq, a predicted model, not a curated record
CUCCAUAUGCAGGGAGUCGAACCUCUGCAGCCUCCUUGGCGGCGACGGCGGCACCUUCACCGAUGCAAACGCAGAGCCCGCAGCACCCCCUUCGGCAGCUCCAUUGCCGUUUGCCUUCAGAGGCUCAGCCAUCGUCAAGGCACACACCGGGUGGGCCCAGGCAUGACAACAGGUUCGUUACUUUUCUUUGCAAUCGCGUGUGAUACUGUGAUCCGAACUUGUCUGUGGUGCUGGGGUAUGAACGUGGGAUCCUCGUGCUGCAACCAACAGACUUCUCACUGAAUGCUGGUGAAGUCAAAUAUUGUUAUCGUUCGCUUUAGUCGGUCUCACCGGAGCCGUCUUUCUACGGCGCAGUUGGGAAUCUUGUGAUCUUGAACAGUAAGCUAACCAGGGAAGGUGGCUACGGGGGAUGGCACGGUGACUUUUCUGCACGAGCUUCUCUUGUCACCUGUGACUUGUGAGCGAGAGACGUCUCAACCAGAAGCCAGCCACGCGUGUCAGUCAUCUCGCCAUCAGACCCGUCAAGGGCUUUGAACAGUGUGUAACAGACGGCCCAAAUCGGCAGCCAAAACGAUUGACCGCCGGUGCCGUGCGUCCGACUCGAGCAGCCAUUCUAGGCGAGCGGAAGAUGACAAGGCAACAGCAGGCCCGCCCGGUGGUUUCAACUACCUUUCAUGCGAUGCGAUUCUCCCAAGGCGGAAGGCGGGCUUGACCGGAUGCACUGACUGACCAUGUAUCAUGUACGCAUGCUUUCUCGCGCACGCAGGAUCUUCCCGGAGAACGGUCGUCCUUGAUGGUGGCAUCAAGUGAUAGGCCACUUGCCUCACCAAAGCGGCCUAGCUCUUUUGACCGCAUGCAUGCACAUGCGCGUGAUCUGAUCACAUCACAGAGGUACUCUCUUUAUCGAUUGUCACUCGGCUUUGGCCGCUUCUCCUCCUGCCAAAACUUUCCAGGCUUAGUCUCUAGUGCGUGUCACGCGGGCGGUAGAUUAGAGGGAGCAAGUAAACGCCGCAACAUCACUGCUGCUGCUAUGUUCCACUGCCGCUCUGCCAGCGUAGCUAGUAUGUACUAGGUUUUAGUGGUUCAUUGGGAUGGUAAUCAAGUGUACGCGUGAAUCUUUCACUUCGAUAUUUCAGUGGUAAAUACAUCGUUUUUCAAUUUGCUUUUGUAAGGAUUGUUUGGCGGUUUCUUGAAUGAAAACAGAUGAGGGGGGCGCUGGCUGUUUCGAUACAAAAUUCAACAAGUAAAAAUCUUUCUCUUGCUGAA